Long non-coding RNA from Lagopus muta (rock ptarmigan), 304 nucleotides. RefSeq lists it as uncharacterized. The transcript is spliced from 3 exons. The record is from RefSeq and is a predicted model, not a curated record. Lineage: Eukaryota; Metazoa; Chordata; Aves; Galliformes; Phasianidae.
CUGCAAGGGAAAUAUCUCUUACUUGGGGAUCACUUCUUUUGGAGUGUUUGACAAGCCCUGGUCUCGUGAAAGGGGUGCUCAAUCAGUGGUUCAGACUAUGACUCAGCAGUUGCCAUACAUGUGGGGAUACGUUCACCUGCUAUGGUGCUUGGAGUACAGGCACGGAGGCUGGAGAAGGUUACAGCGGACCAUGGUGUCCAGGAUGGAAUCAGAAUUCUGCACUGACAAGAUGGAACCAGAAUCCUAUGUUGACAGGAUGGAACCAGAAUUCUACAUUGACAGGUUGAAAUCAGAUGUCUCCGGG